Molecule: non-coding RNA, 95 nt
Organism: Mycena rosella
Lineage: Eukaryota; Fungi; Basidiomycota; Agaricomycetes; Agaricales; Mycenaceae
Source: the annotation of a GenBank genome assembly
GCGGAUGUGGUGUAUGGUGCACGACUGCAUGCUAUAGGUAGGGUUGAAAGUGCAUAGACAGGCAGUAAGUCGGGGUUCGACUCCCCGCAUCCGCA